UACGUAGGGUGCGAGCGUUGUCCGGAAUUACUGGGCGUAAAGAGCUCGUAGGUGGUUUGUCGCGUUGUCCGUGAAAACUCACAACUCAAUUGUGGGCGUGCGGGCGAUACGGCAGACUGGAGUACUGCAGGGGAGACUGGAAUUCCUGGUGUAGCGGUGGAAUGCGCAGAUAUCAGGAGGAACACCGGUGGCGAAGGCGGGUCUCGUGGGCAGUAACUGACGCUGAGGAGCGAAAGCGUGGGGAGCGAACAGG
RNAcentral lists this ribosomal RNA (253 nucleotides) under uncultured bacterium. RNAcentral describes it as "partial 16S ribosomal RNA". It matches the Rfam family "Bacterial small subunit ribosomal RNA", at positions 524 to 776 of the family's 1533-position model. The record is from RNAcentral.